CCUACGGGAGGCAGCAGUGAGGAAUAUUGGUCAAUGGCCGGAAGGCUGAACCAGCCAUGCCGCGUGAAGGUCAGUGCCCUAUGGGCGUUAAACUUCUUUUGUGCGGGAGCAAUAAUGGUCACGUGUGGCCAGACGAGAGUACCGUACGAAUAAGCAUCUGCUAACUCCGGUCAAGCAGCCGCGGUGAUACGGGGGGUGCAAGCGUUAUCCGGAUUUAGUGGGGUUAAAGGGUGCGUGGGCUGUGAGGUAAGGCAGCGGUGGAUUGCCCCCGCUCAAAGGGGUGAAGUGCCAUUGAUACUGCCUUGCUGGAAUGCGGAUGCAGUGGGAGGAAUGUGUGGUGUAGCGGUGAAAUGUAUAGAUAUAACACAGAACACCGAUUGCGAAGGCAUCUCACGAAUCCGCGAUUGACGCUGAUGCACGAAAGCGUGGGUAUCAAACAGGAUUAGAUACCCGUGUAGUC
This 460-nucleotide ribosomal RNA is filed under the name uncultured bacterium. RNAcentral's name for it is "partial 16S ribosomal RNA". It matches the Rfam family "Bacterial small subunit ribosomal RNA", at positions 338 to 795 of the family's 1533-position model. The record is from RNAcentral.